RNAcentral lists this ribosomal RNA (497 nucleotides) under uncultured bacterium. RNAcentral describes it as "partial 16S ribosomal RNA". It matches the Rfam family "Bacterial small subunit ribosomal RNA", at positions 28 to 507 of the family's 1533-position model. The record is from RNAcentral.
GAUGAACGCUGGCGGCGUGCCUAAUACAUGCAAGUCGAGCGAACAGACGAGGAGCUUGCUCCUCUGACAUUAGCGGCGGACGGGUGAGUAACACGUGGAUAACCUACCUAUAAGACUGGGAUAACUUCGGGAAACCGGAGCUAAUACCGGAUAAUAUAUUGAACCGCAUGGUUCAAUAGUGAAAGACGGUUUUGCUGUCACUUAUAGAUGGAUCCGCGCCGCGUUAGCUAGUUGGUAAGGUAACGGCUUACCAAGGCAACGAUGCGUAGCCGACCUGAGAGGGUGAUCGGCCACACUGGAACUGAGACACGGUCCAGACUCCUACGGGAGGCAGCAGUAGGGAAUCUUCCGCAAUGGGCGAAAGCCUGACGGAGCAACGCCGCGUGAGUGAUGAAGGUCUUCGGAUCGUAAAACUCUGUUAUUAGGGAAGUACAAAUGUGUAAGUAACUAUGCACGUCUUGACGGUACCUAAUCAGAAAGCCACGGCUAACUACGUG